Molecule: long non-coding RNA, 310 nt
Filed under: Androctonus crassicauda
Lineage: Eukaryota; Metazoa; Arthropoda; Arachnida; Scorpiones; Buthidae
Source: RNAcentral
UACAUGAAUCUAUGGAGAUUGAAAAACGGAGGUCUUCCGUUAACCUUAUUAAUGAUAAUGAACCAUCGGCUCUCCCGGUGUCGUGGAAGUGGUGUGCGCAGCGUAAUAUCUAGGUCCUUGUGCACUCCCGGAGGCUUAUAUCCCUCCAUGCCUUCUGUACCUCUGGGCACUGAACCCCCACCCCCUACUGUAGCUUACUAUAGUGGUAUAGAUGAUAUAGUGGUAUAAUGAUCAAAAUAAUGAUCUAAGAAAAAUCAUAAUUAAUCUUAAUAAUGAAUAUGAUAAUCUCAGAUUGCAGUAGAGACCUCAC